Molecule: ribosomal RNA, 1608 nt
Filed under: Escherichia coli
Lineage: Bacteria; Pseudomonadati; Pseudomonadota; Gammaproteobacteria; Enterobacterales; Enterobacteriaceae
Description: partial 23S ribosomal RNA
Rfam family: Bacterial large subunit ribosomal RNA
Source: RNAcentral
CGGGACACGUGGUAUCCUGUCUGAAUAUGGGGGGACCAUCCUCCAAGGCUAAAUACUCCUGACUGACCGAUAGUGAACCAGUACCGUGAGGGAAAGGCGAAAAGAACCCCGGCGAGGGGAGUGAAAAAGAACCUGAAACCGUGUACGUACAAGCAGUGGGAGCACGCUUAGGCGUGUGACUGCGUACCUUUUGUAUAAUGGGUCAGCGACUUAUAUUCUGUAGCAAGGUUAACCGAAUAGGGGAGCCGAAGGGAAACCGAGUCUUAACUGGGCGUUAAGUUGCAGGGUAUAGACCCGAAACCCGGUGAUCUAGCCAUGGGCAGGUUGAAGGUUGGGUAACACUAACUGGAGGACCGAACCGACUAAUGUUGAAAAAUUAGCGGAUGACUUGUGGCUGGGGGUGAAAGGCCAAUCAAACCGGGAGAUAGCUGGUUCUCCCCGAAAGCUAUUUAGGUAGCGCCUCGUGAAUUCAUCUCCGGGGGUAGAGCACUGUUUCGGCAAGGGGGUCAUCCCGACUUACCAACCCGAUGCAAACUGCGAAUACCGGAGAAUGUUAUCACGGGAGACACACGGCGGGUGCUAACGUCCGUCGUGAAGAGGGAAACAACCCAGACCGCCAGCUAAGGUCCCAAAGUCAUGGUUAAGUGGGAAACGAUGUGGGAAGGCCCAGACAGCCAGGAUGUUGGCUUAGAAGCAGCCAUCAUUUAAAGAAAGCGUAAUAGCUCACUGGUCGAGUCGGCCUGCGCGGAAGAUGUAACGGGGCUAAACCAUGCACCGAAGCUGCGGCAGCGACGCUGAUGCGUUGUUGGGUAGGGGAGCGUUCUGUAAGCCUGUGAAGGUGUGCUGUGAGGCAUGCUGGAGGUAUCAGAAGUGCGAAUGCUGACAUAAGUAACGAUAAAGCGGGUGAAAAGCCCGCUCGCCGGAAGACCAAGGGUUCCUGUCCAACGUUAAUCGGGGCAGGGUGAGUCGACCCCUAAGGCGAGGCCGAAAGGCGUAGUCGAUGGGAAACAGGUUAAUAUUCCUGUACUUGGUGUUACUGCGAAGGGGGGACGGAGAAGGCUAUGUUGGCCGGGCGACGGUUGUCCCGGUUUAAGCGUGUAGGCUGGUUUUCCAGGCAAAUCCGGAAAAUCAAGGCUGAGGCGUGAUGACGAGGCACUACGGUGCUGAAGCAACAAAUGCCCUGCUUCCAGGAAAAGCCUCUAAGCAUCAGGUAACAUCAAAUCGUACCCCAAACCGACACAGGUGGUCAGGUAGAGAAUACCAAGGCGCUUGAGAGAACUCGGGUGAAGGAACUAGGCAAAAUGGUGCCGUAACUUCGGGAGAAGGCACGCUGAUAUGUAGGUGAAGCGACUUGCUCGUGGAGCUGAAAUCAGUCGAAGAUACCAGCUGGCUGCAACUGUUUAUUAAAAACACAGCACUGUGCAAACACGAAAGUGGACGUAUACGGUGUGACGCCUGCCCGGUGCCGGAAGGUUAAUUGAUGGGGUCAGCGCAAGCGAAGCUCUUGAUCGAAGCCCCGGUAAACGGCGGCCGUAACUAUAACGGUCCUAAGGUAGCGAAAUUCCUUGUCGGGUAAGUUCCGACCUGCACGAAUGGCGUAAUGAUGGC